GGUAAGGUGAUAUGAACCGUUAUAACCGGCGAUACCCGAAUGGGGAAACCCAGUGUGACUCGUCACACUAUCAUUAACUGAAUCCAUAGGUUAAUGAGGCGAACCGGGGGAACUGAAACAUCUAAGUACCCCGAGGAAAAGAAAUCAACCGAGAUUCCCCCAGUAGCGGCGAGCGAACGGGGAGGAGCCCAGAGCCUGAAUCAGCAUGUGUGUUAGUGGAAGCGUCUGGAAAGGCGCGCGAUACAGGGUGACAGCCCCGUACACAAAAGCGCAUGUGCUGUGAGCUCGAUGAGUAGGGCGGGACACGUGGUAUCCUGUCUGAAUAUGGGGGGACCAUCCUCCAAGGCUAAAUACUCCUGACUGACCGAUAGUGAACCAGUACCGUGAGGGAAAGGCGAAAAGAACCCCGGCGAGGGGAGUGAAAAAGAACCUGAAACCGUGUACGUACAAGCAGUGGGAGCCCCACCACCAAAGCAUUUGCUGUACCGCGUUGACGGAGCGAAGCGACGUCAAACCGAUAAAACAGCAGUGUAAAGUGAGCCGCAGGGCGCUUUGCGCGACAGCGCAAAGGCAGGCGGUUUCGCGUAGCGAAAGCGAAUGCUUUGGGGUGGGGUGACUGCGUACCUUUUGUAUAAUGGGUCAGCGACUUAUAUUCUGUAGCAAGGUUAACCGAAUAGGGGAGCCGGAGGGAAACCGAGUCUUAAUUGGGCGUUAAGUUGCAGGGUAUAGACCCGAAACCCGGUGAUCUAGCCAUGGGCAGGUUGAAGGUUGGGUAACACUAACUGGAGGACCGAACCGACUAAUGUUGAAAAAUUAGCGGAUGACCUGUGGCUGGGGGUGAAAGGCCAAUCAAACCGGGAGAUAGCUGGUUCUCCCCGAAAGCUAUUUAGGUAGCGCCUCGUGAAUUCAUCUCCGGGGGUAGAGCACUGUUUCGGCUAGGGGGCCAUCCCGGCUUACCAACCCGAUGCAAACUGCGAAUACCGGAGAAUGUUAUCACGGGAGACACACGGCGGGUGCUAACGUCCGUCGUGAAGAGGGAAACAACCCAGACCGCCAGCUAAGGUCCCAAAGUCAUGGUUAAGUGGGAAACGAUGUGGGAAGGCCCAGACAGCCAGGAUGUUGGCUUAGAAGCAGCCAUCAUUUAAAGAAAGCGUAAUAGCUCACUGGUCGAGUCGGCCUGCGCGGAAGAUGUAACGGGGCUAAACCAUGCACCGAAGCUGCGGCAGCGACACUGUGUGUUGUUGGGUAGGGGAGCGUUCUGUAAGCCUGUGAAGGUGUGUCGUGAGGCAUGCUGGAGGUAUCAGAAGUGCGAAUGCUGACAUAAGUAACGAUAAAGCGGGUGAAAAGCCCGCUCGCCGGAAGACCAAGGGUUCCUGUCCAACGUUAAUCGGGGCAGGGUGAGUCGACCCCUAAGGCGAGGCCGAAAGGCGUAGUCGAUGGGAAACGGGUUAAUAUUCCCGUACUUGGUGUUACUGCGAAGGGGGGACGGAGAAGGCUAUGUUGGCCGGG
RNAcentral lists this ribosomal RNA (1509 nucleotides) under Salmonella enterica. Its description in RNAcentral is "partial 23S ribosomal RNA". It matches the Rfam family "Bacterial large subunit ribosomal RNA", at positions 80 to 1495 of the family's 2925-position model. Lineage: Bacteria; Pseudomonadati; Pseudomonadota; Gammaproteobacteria; Enterobacterales; Enterobacteriaceae. The record is from RNAcentral. RNAcentral also lists the same sequence under 1 other name.